This 488-nucleotide ribosomal RNA is filed under the name uncultured bacterium. RNAcentral describes it as "partial 16S ribosomal RNA". It matches the Rfam family "Bacterial small subunit ribosomal RNA", at positions 28 to 507 of the family's 1533-position model. The record is from RNAcentral.
GAUGAACGCUAGCGGCAGGCCUAAUACAUGCAAGUCGGACGGGAUCCAUUGAUAGCUUGCUCUCAAUGGUGAGAGUGGCGCACGGGUGCGUCACGCGUGAGCAACCUGCCUCCAUCAGGGGGAUAGCCUCUCGAAAGAGAGAUUAACACCGCAUAAUAUCAACAGUUCGCAUGUUCAGUUGAUUAAAUAUUUAUAGGAUGGAGAUGGGCUCGCGUGACAUUAGCUAGUUGGUAGGGUAACGGCUUACCAAGGCGACGAUGUCUAGGGGCUCUGAGAGGAGAAUCCCCCACACUGGUACUGAGACACGGACCAGACUCCUACGGGAGGCAGCAGUAAGGAAGAUUGGUCAAUGGGCGGAAGCCUGAACCAGCCAUGCCGCGUGCAGGAUGACUGCCCUAUGGGUUGUAAACUGCUUUUGUCCAGGAAUAAACCUAAAUACGAGUAUUUAGCUGAAUGUACUGGAAGAAUAAGGAUCGGCUAACUCCGUG